GAUGUGAAGCUGGAGGGAAAGUACAUAGCUGCUGAGUAGAGGUGGCCUUGGGGCUGGGGUUAAGGAGGUGAAUGGAGUGCUUAAGUGCAGAGCUUUGUGUUGUGGAGUUCUUUUAGUUGUGAAAAUGGAGUAUCUCAGACAUAUGGGAAGGUGGUCAAGAACAGGAGCUGCCGCUACUGCCCUUUUGGCUGGAAAUAGUAGAUGCCAAUAGGAUUAAGAACAGGAUAAACAAACAAGAUGCAGGACAAUUGCAAGAGCUCUCAGAGUCCUGGUGUUUCAGGCCUGCAGAAGCUCUGCCUUGUGUACCAGGCUGCGGGGCUGCCUGAGGAGCUUUCACAAACAGCACUUUAUGUGGCUUAUUGCAAGCUGUGCAACACUCACACAACUGUGCAGUAUUUACUGGUUGGAAUUGUUGGGCCAGCUGGACCACAGUGCACACAGCCAUGUGUUUUCCCAGAAGUCAGCAAGAUGUGUGUUUGUACAUCCCAGCAAGCUCUGCUUACCCCACGUUGUCUCAGUGCCAGCUGACAGCAGGAUCCAUCCAGCCGACUGCUUUGCGGUGAUGAAUUGCUGUAUUUGCUGCUGGCUGCAUAUGGCAGAGAGUUUAAGAUCUCCAUGAAGGAAAAUGAUUAUCGUUGAGUCACGCCAAUAGCUGCGACGCUGGCUGCCUGCCCCCGCCAGCCUGCUUCACCACUUGUGUGCUAAUGUUUGGAUCCUAGUGGUGGGAAAUGAAUGUCAGCCUGUACUCUCUUCAUGCACCAUUGAGCUGUGCUUAUGGUCGCUUUUGGCAGCACCAAAUCAUCAAACAGAUAAAACCAUCAGUCUUUUUAUUUCCAAACAUUAACCUAACUGCUAAUAAAGCACAGCUCGUGUCAUCCUUAUGGACUCUGCAGAGCUGAGUCACACGAUAAACAGGAUCCGAAUGCUGGAAAA
Molecule: long non-coding RNA, 933 nt
Organism: Phasianus colchicus (ring-necked pheasant)
Lineage: Eukaryota; Metazoa; Chordata; Aves; Galliformes; Phasianidae
Source: RefSeq, a predicted model, not a curated record